Molecule: ribosomal RNA, 429 nt
Filed under: bacterium
Lineage: Bacteria
Description: partial 16S ribosomal RNA
Rfam family: Bacterial small subunit ribosomal RNA
Source: RNAcentral
UAGGGAAUCUUCCACAAUGGACGCCAGUCUGAUGGAGCAACGCCGCGUGAGUGAAGAAGGUUUUCGGAUCGUAAAGCUCUGUUGUUGGUGAAGAAGGAUAGAGGUAGUAACUGGCCUUUAUUUGACGGUAAUCAACCAGAAAGUCACGGCUAACUACGUGCCAGCAGCCGCGGUAAUACGUAGGUGGCAAGCGUUGUCCGGAUUUAUUGGGCGUAAAGCGAGCGCAGGCGGAAGAAUAAGUCUGAUGUGAAAGCCCUCGGCUUAACCGAGGAACUGCAUCGGAAACUGUUUUUCUUGAGUGCAGAAGAGGAGAGUGGAACUCCAUGUGUAGCGGUGGAAUGCGUAGAUAUAUGGAAGAACACCAGUGGCGAAGGCGACUCUCUGGUCUGCAACUGACGCUGAGGCUCGAAAGCAUGGGUAGCGAACAGG